RNAcentral lists this unclassified non-coding RNA (221 nucleotides) under Hevea brasiliensis (rubber tree). The record is from RNAcentral. Lineage: Eukaryota; Viridiplantae; Streptophyta; Magnoliopsida; Malpighiales; Euphorbiaceae.
GCUUUCUCAAUAACAUUCAAACAUGCCAUAAAGCAACAUGCAAUGUAAUGCUUCAAAAUGCUUUUAAAACUUUUAACUCACUUAGAAUAGACAGACUAACAUCUUUAAGGAUCUUGCUCUUGGUAACUCAUGUAAGUAGAUGGUUAACAAUUAAAGACAGCGUCACUGAUAAAUUUUGUGGUGCAUCUUGGAAUCUAGACCGAAAUCAACUUUCUCGGCCA